AGUUCGGCCCUCUUCCUGGAGUCGCUCUUCGCCAUUAGAGGUGCGAAUGUGGGCUGGAGUUUAGGAAGAUGCAGGAGAUUGGAGAAGAUGAGAGCGGAUGGUUCGAAGGCAAUGGCAGGCGAAGCGGUACAGGCGGACCUAUUAGGCCCUUAUAAACCCGCGACUCCACCUCUCCCACUUCCUGUAUUCUCGGGAAGUGGGCAGGCCAUGCGGCGGACGCGGCGUUUCGGUUUAUAAUGAUUAUAGACAAUUAAUGCGGCG
This 261-nucleotide long non-coding RNA is filed under the name Sorghum bicolor (sorghum). RNAcentral describes it as "long non-coding RNA (SBIC_LNC002559)". The record is from RNAcentral. Lineage: Eukaryota; Viridiplantae; Streptophyta; Magnoliopsida; Poales; Poaceae.